GGAGGGAUGCGUGAUGUAAGGGAAUGUGUUUGAGGUACGGAGAGGGAUGCGUGAUGUAAGGGAAUGUGUUUGAGGUACGGAGAGGGAUGCGUGAUGUAAGGGAAUGUGUUUGAGGUGGGGCGAGGGAUGCGUGAUGUAAGGGAAUGUGUUUGAGGUGGGGCGAGGGAUGCGUGAUGUAAGGGAAUGUGUUUGAGGUGGGGCGAGGGAUGCGUGAUGUAAGGGAAUGUGUUUGAGGUGGGGCGAGGGAUGCGUGAUGUAAGGGAAUGUGUUUGAGGUACGGAGAGGGAUGCGUGAUGUAAGGGAAUGUGUUUGAGGUACGGCGAGGGAUGCGUGAUGUAAGGGAAUGUGUUUGAGGUGGGGCGAGGGAUGCGUGAUGUAAGGGAAUGUGUUUGAGGUACGGAGAGGGAUACGUGAUG
Molecule: long non-coding RNA, 416 nt
Organism: Oncorhynchus tshawytscha (Chinook salmon)
Lineage: Eukaryota; Metazoa; Chordata; Actinopteri; Salmoniformes; Salmonidae
Exons: 3
Source: RefSeq, a predicted model, not a curated record